Molecule: long non-coding RNA, 1088 nt
Filed under: Anas platyrhynchos platyrhynchos (common mallard)
Lineage: Eukaryota; Metazoa; Chordata; Aves; Anseriformes; Anatidae
Description: lncRNA (ENSAPLG00000027032.1)
Source: RNAcentral
GGCUGCGGGGAGGGCGGCGCGGUCGCAGCUGCGCUACCCGGGCGCAGUCGCUCCCUCGCAAGCCGUGCGAAACGCCGCGAACGGAACGCUUGUCCCGCCGUGUCCCGCGAGCCUCCGCGCCCCCGGCCGGCACCUCCUGCAGCACAUCCUUAGCAGAGGCGUAGCUGGAGGAGCGCGGGUCCGCCGCCCGCCGUCGUUUUCGGGGACCCCCGGGGCAGGGGACGGCGCGGAGGCAGCCGCAGGGCGGUAUCGCCCCGGCGGCGAGAACGGACCGUGCGCUACGGGACUAGCGGGGCAGCCCGACUUUUUCGCGGGAGAGGAAGUUUCGCUAGAGCGCCCUUCAGAGAGAAGCAUCCAGCAUCUGCGCUACGGUGCAGUCUGAGAUUAAGAAGCCCAUGUGCCAAUACCCUCUCGUUAAAACCACCCUUAUUCUCCGCGUUCAGCAUUUUCUUCGUGCUGCGCCUUGCUGUCAGAUAUUUAAGAGAUCUCUCCUGCGUGUAACUGAUUAGCACUCUCCCCCACACACAUCCUCGCAUUACUUGUGAGAGAGAGGAAUCAGAAACAGGCGCAGUCCCCCCGUCGGAGAGUCCCGUGGGAGUCCUCCACUCCUUCUCGCUCCGCGCACAGAAGCCCGCGCUCCCUCCCGGCGCUCUCCAGCGCUCGGCUCUGCUCGCAGCCUCGACAGGACAAGGCUGAGGCCGCCCCGCCCGGCCCAGCCGCGACGGACUGUCUGCCCCCGGCAAGUUCCCUUCCUGUCCCGUCUCUCCCUGCUGACAGCCCGUCGACGAACCUGCCGCCCCUGCGGCGCUUCAGCUGGUUCCCACGCGUGGGGCCCGCGGGGCGCUGAGAGGCGCGAUUAAAGCACCAUCCGAGCCGUGCCUCCCUCCGAUGUGCAUGGAGCACAAGGGAGACGAGGGCGCGCAGAAGCUGGCGAUUCACUAAACUCUGUGUAUCUACGUGCUUUCAUCUUCUCAGAAACGAUGCUGUGCUAGGAAUAUUCACUAAAAUAGCGAGGGCGCGUAACUGUGAAAUGGUGAAGUUUUAGACUGGACUUUGGAAAGGUAGGGGACAAAAGCGUACAGGCGAAG